AACGGCAAAAUAUUACAAUUCGUUCACUUGUAAUUCAAACGUUGUGUGUUUGUGAAGUGUGUAGUGUUGCUGUGUGAUUUAUUUUCGGGCUUGUUGUCGGAGCGAACUUGGCCCAAAUCCAAUUGCUUCCUGGAAUGUAGUCGCGCGUUUCCAUUACAAAAAAAAAAUCAAUUGGAAUUAUUUAAAAUAAAUACAUAUACCCAUGAAAAGGUUUUUACGACAAAUUUUCUAAUUACAAUUAUUAAACGAGAAACUAUUGCUGAAUCCAGAUGGGUUGAGAAAAGCUGAAUUGAUAAGCGCUGCAGGCGAAGACCGCAGUCAUCCAGGAUAAAUAAAAAAUUGAAAAUAAACAGCUAUCAACUAUCAUCACUAAAGAAAAUUUAUUUAAUGGUGUUUUUUGAUUUUCUGGUGAUAAUAAAAUUAUCAAGAAUCAUCGAAUAAGAACGGACUGAAUACAAAAAAUAAAAUUUUUUCAAACAAAAAUUUGUGGCUUCAAAACAGCCACAAAAUUGAACAACAUAAAAUCUUUGAGAAGACAACUGUUUCUUCUCAAAAUCAAUUAUUCGAUGGAAGUCCCUUAAUUAUUGUUUUUCAAUUAAAAAAUUUAAUACUGUAAAAAUUUAU
Long non-coding RNA from Chrysoperla carnea, 624 nucleotides. RefSeq lists it as uncharacterized. Lineage: Eukaryota; Metazoa; Arthropoda; Insecta; Neuroptera; Chrysopidae. The record is from RefSeq and is a predicted model, not a curated record. The transcript is spliced from 3 exons.